AAAGAUUAAGCCAUGCAUGUCUAAGUAUAAGCAAUUAUACCGCGAAACUGCGAAUGGCUCAUUAUAUAAGUUAUCGUUUAUUUGAUAGUACCUUACUACUUGGAUAACCGUGGUAAUUCUAGAGCUAAUACAUGCUAAAAAUCCCGACUUCGGAAGGGAUGUAUUUAUUAGAUUAAAAACCAAUGCCCUUCGGGGCUCACUGGUGAUUCAUGAUAACUCCUCGAAUCGCAUGGCCUUGUGCCGGCGAUGGUUCAUUCAAAUUUCUUCCCUAUCAACUUUCGAUGUUUGGGUAUUGGCCAAACAUGGUUG
Molecule: ribosomal RNA, 309 nt
Filed under: uncultured bacterium
Lineage: Bacteria
Also listed under: 3 other names
Description: SSU rRNA
Rfam family: Eukaryotic small subunit ribosomal RNA
Source: RNAcentral